RNAcentral lists this ribosomal RNA (428 nucleotides) under Chloroflexota bacterium. RNAcentral's name for it is "Chloroflexi bacterium partial 16S ribosomal RNA". It matches the Rfam family "Bacterial small subunit ribosomal RNA", at positions 355 to 776 of the family's 1533-position model. The record is from RNAcentral. Lineage: Bacteria; Bacillati; Chloroflexota.
UGGGGAAUAUUGCACAAUGGGCGCAAGCCUGAUGCAGCCAUGCCGCGUGUAUGAAGAAGGCCUUCGGGUUGUAAAGUACUUUCAGUCGGGAGGAAGGUGGUAAGGUUAAUACCUUAUCAAUUGACGUUACCGACAGAAGAAGCACCGGCUAACUCCGUGCCAGCAGCCGCGGUAAUACGGAGGGUGCAAGCGUUAAUCGGAAUUACUGGGCGUAAAGCGCACGCAGGCGGUCUGUCAAGUCGGUUGUGAAAUCCCCGGGCUUAACCUGGGAACUGCAUUCGAAACUGGCAGGCUAGAGUCUUGUAGAGGGGGGUAGAAUUCCAGGUGUAGCGGUGAAAUGCGUAGAGAUCUGGAGGAAUACCGGUGGCGAAGGCGGCCCCCUGGACAAAGACUGACGCUCAGGUGCGAAAGCGUGGGGAGCAAACAGG